Molecule: ribosomal RNA, 497 nt
Filed under: uncultured bacterium
Lineage: Bacteria
Description: partial 16S ribosomal RNA
Rfam family: Bacterial small subunit ribosomal RNA
Source: RNAcentral
GAUGAACGCUGGCGGCGUGCCUAAUACAUGCAAGUCGAGCGAACAGAUGAGGAGCUUGCUCCUCUGACGUUAGCGGCGGACGGGUGAGUAACACGUGGAUAACCUACCUAUAAGACUGGGAUAACUUCGGGAAACCGGAGCUAAUACCGGAUAAUAUAUUGAACCGCAUGGUUCAAUAGUGAAAGACGGUUUUGCUGUCACUUAUAGAUGGAUCCGCGCCGCAUUAGCUAGUUGGUAAGGUAACGGCUUACCAAGGCAACGAUGCGUAGCCGACCUGAGAGGGUGAUCGGCCACACUGGAACUGAAACACGGUCCAGACUCCUACGGGAGGCAGCAGUAGGGAAUCUUCCGCAAUGGGCGAAAGCCUGACGGAGCAACGCAGCGUGAGUGAUGAAGGUCUUCGGAUCGUAAAACUCUGUUAUUAGGGAAGAACAAAUGUGUAAGUAACUAUGCACGUCUUGACGGUACCUAAUCAGAAAGCCACGGCUAACUACGUG